AUUGAACGCUGGCGGCAUGCCUUACACAUGCAAGUCGAACGGUAACAGGUCUUCGGAUGCUGACGAGUGGCGAACGGGUGAGUAAUACAUCGGAACGUGCCUAGUAGUGGGGGAUAACUACUCGAAAGAGUGGCUAAUACCGCAUGAGAUCUACGGAUGAAAGCAGGGGAUCGCAAGACCUUGUGCUACUAGAGCGGCCGAUGGCAGAUUAGGUAGUUGGUGGGGUAAAGGCCCACCAAGCCAACGAUCUGUAGCUGGUCUGAGAGGACGACCAGCCACACUGGAACUGAGACACGGUCCAGACUCCUACGGGAGGCAGCAGUGGGGAAUUUUGGACAAUGGGCGAAAGCCUGAUCCAGCCAUUCCGCGUGCAGGAUGAAGGCCCUCGGGUUGUAAACUGCUUUUGUACAGAACGAAAAGGUUUCUACUAAUACUAGGAGCUCAUGACGGUACUGUAAGAAUAAGCACCGGCUAACUACGUGCCAGCCGCCGCAGUAA
This 498-nucleotide ribosomal RNA is filed under the name uncultured bacterium. RNAcentral's name for it is "partial 16S ribosomal RNA". It matches the Rfam family "Bacterial small subunit ribosomal RNA", at positions 30 to 523 of the family's 1533-position model. The record is from RNAcentral.